This 73-nucleotide non-coding RNA is filed under the name unclassified sequences. The record is from Rfam.
AGCACUUUUUAGUGCUGGCAGAUGUAAAUCCGACGUGCCUUUGGUGCACGGCCCAUUCGUGGCUCGGGAUUAC